RNAcentral lists this ribosomal RNA (528 nucleotides) under uncultured bacterium. Its description in RNAcentral is "bacterial SSU rRNA". It matches the Rfam family "Bacterial small subunit ribosomal RNA", at positions 777 to 1304 of the family's 1533-position model. The record is from RNAcentral.
AAUAGAUACCCUGGUAGUCCACGCCGUAAACGAUGAGUGCUAAGUGUUAGAGGGUUUCCGCCCUUUAGUGCUGAAGUUAACGCAUUAAGCACUCCGCCUGGGGAGUACGGCCGCAAGGCUGAAACUCAAAGGAAUUGACGGGGGCCCGCACAAGCGGUGGAGCAUGUGGUUUAAUUCGAAGCAACGCGAAGAACCUUACCAGGUCUUGACAUCCUCUGACAACCCUAGAGAUAGGACUUCUCCUUCGGGAGCAGAGUGACAGGUGGUGCAUGGUUGUCGUCAGCUCGUGUCGUGAGAUGUUGGGUUAAGUCCCGCAACGAGCGCAACCCUUGAUCUUAGUUGCCAUCAUUUAGUUGGGCACUCUAAGGUGACUGCCGGUGACAAACCGGAGGAAGGUGGGGAUGACGUCAAAUCAUCAUGCCCCUUAUGACCUGGGCUACACACGUGCUACAAUGGACGGUACAAAGAGCUGCAAGACCGCGAGGUGGAGCUAAUCUCAUAAAAACCGUUCUCAGUUCGGAUUGUAGG